This 301-nucleotide ribosomal RNA is filed under the name uncultured bacterium. Its description in RNAcentral is "partial 16S ribosomal RNA". It matches the Rfam family "Bacterial small subunit ribosomal RNA", at positions 509 to 807 of the family's 1533-position model. The record is from RNAcentral.
CAGCAGCCACGGGAAUACGUAGGGUGCAGGCGUUAAUCGGAAUUACUGGGCGUAAAGCGUGCGCAGGCGGUUUGUUAAGACAGAUGUGAAAUCCCCGGGCUCAACCUGGGAACUGCAUUUGUGACUGGCAAGCUAGAGUGUGGCAGAGGGGGGUGGAAUUCCGCGUGUAGCAGUGAAAUGCGUAGAUAUGCGGAGGAACACCGAUGGCGAAGGCAGCCCCCUGGGCCAAUACUGACGCUCAUGCACGAAAGCGUGGGGAGCAAACAGGAUUAGAUACCCCGGUAGUCCCUGUCUCUUAUAC